UUAUGUGAUCGUCUCUCGCAUAUCAAUAAGCGGAGGAAAAGAAACUAACAAGGAUUCCCCUAGUAACGGCUAGUGAAGCGGGAAGAGCUCAAAUUUGAAAUCUUAAAGGGUUUCCCUUUACGAAUUGUAGUUUAAAGAAGUGUUUUCUGUUGAGGUUUUGGUAAAAGUUCUUUGGAAUAGGACAUCAUAGAGGGUGAGAAUCCCGUAUUUGACCUUUACUUUCAACUUUGUGAUACACUUUCAAAGAGUCGGAUUGUUUGGGAAUGCAGUCCAAAAUGGGUGGUAAAUUUCAUCUAAAGCUAAAUAUUGGCGAGAGACUGAUAGCGAACAAGUACCGUGAGGGAAAGAUGAAAAGAACUUUGAAAAGAGAGUUAAACAGUACGUGAAAUUGUCAAAAGGGAAGCGUUUGACACCAGUGUUGUUUUUCUGAAAAUCAAUUAAAGAACUGUUUAUGCUAAGUUGUUUAGACUUUAUCAGCUAACUGUUUAGUUUUGAGCUUUUCUUUAAUGCACUUUUCAGUUAACAAGUCAACAUCAAUUUCUUUUGCUGUAAAAAAGCUUGAGGAAGGUGGCUUGAGAUCGUCUUAAGUGUUUAUAGCCCUCUUGCCUAUGCAGUCGGAGAGAUUGAGGUCUGCAGCGUAGGAUCCUUCGGGGCUAAAUGCAUUUGUGCUAAGUUAUAGCAUUUUAUAGACAACUUGUUGACUAUGAUUUGUCUUGUAGCUUACUCGCUUAUGUUAUUUUACCUACGCUUAGGAUGUUGACACACGCGCGUGCUCG
RNAcentral lists this ribosomal RNA (776 nucleotides) under uncultured Neocallimastigales. Its description in RNAcentral is "partial large subunit ribosomal RNA". It matches the Rfam family "Eukaryotic large subunit ribosomal RNA", at positions 24 to 646 of the family's 3401-position model. Lineage: Eukaryota; Fungi; Neocallimastigomycota; Neocallimastigomycetes; Neocallimastigales. The record is from RNAcentral.